UACGAAGGGGGCUAGCGUUGUUCGGAAUCACUGGGCGUAAAGGGCGCGUAGGUGGGCAGUUAAGUCAGCGGUGAAAUCUCCGGGCUUAACCCGGAAACUGCCAUUGAUACUAUCUGUCUUGAAUACCGUGGAGGUGAGCGGAAUAUGUCAUGUAGCGGUGAAAUGCUUAGAUAUGACAUAGAACACCAAUUGCGAAGGCAGCUCACUGGACGAAUAUUGACACUGAGGCACGAAAGCGUGGGGAGCAAACAGG
This 253-nucleotide ribosomal RNA is filed under the name uncultured bacterium. RNAcentral describes it as "partial 16S ribosomal RNA". It matches the Rfam family "Bacterial small subunit ribosomal RNA", at positions 524 to 776 of the family's 1533-position model. The record is from RNAcentral.